This 73-nucleotide transfer RNA is filed under the name Streptococcaceae bacterium. RNAcentral's name for it is "tRNA-Thr". It matches the Rfam family "tRNA". From Rfam's summary of the family: Transfer RNA (tRNA) molecules are approximately 80 nucleotides in length. Their secondary structure includes four short double-helical elements and three loops (D, anti-codon, and T loops). Further hydrogen bonds mediate the characteristic L-shaped molecular structure. tRNAs have two regions of fundamental functional importance: the anti-codon, which is responsible for specific mRNA codon recognition, and the 3' end, to which the tRNAs corresponding amino acid is attached (by aminoacyl-tRNA synthetases). tRNAs cope with the degeneracy of the genetic code in two manners: having more than one tRNA (with a specific anti-codon) for a particular amino acid; and 'wobble' base-pairing, i.e. permitting non-standard base-pairing at the 3rd anti-codon position. The record is from RNAcentral. Lineage: Bacteria; Bacillati; Bacillota; Bacilli; Lactobacillales; Streptococcaceae.
GCCGUCGUAGCUCAGCUGGUAGAGCACCACCAUGGUAAGGUGGGGGUCGUGGGUUCGAGCCCCAUCGUCGGCU